Molecule: long non-coding RNA, 1324 nt
Filed under: Lonchura striata (white-rumped munia)
Lineage: Eukaryota; Metazoa; Chordata; Aves; Passeriformes; Estrildidae
Description: domestica (Bengalese finch) lncRNA (ENSLSDG00000007326.1)
Source: RNAcentral
NNNNNNNNNNNNNNNNNNNNNNNNNNNNNNNNNNNNNNNNNNNNNNNNNNUGUCCCGGUGUCCCGGUGCCGCCCUCACGCCCGCCGGGGCCCGAAUCCCAUCUCCAGCAGCGCCUCCAGGGCCCGCCCGGGCCCGGCCCCGCCGCCCGCCGCCAUCGGGGCGGCGCCGCGACCGCGGCACGAGGGGACGGCGGCCGGGGAGGGACGGGACGGGACAGAGCGAUUGGUACGGAACGGAACGGAACGGGACGGGACGGAACGGGACGGGACGGGACGGGACGGGACGGAACGGGACGGAACGGGACGGAACGGAACGGGACGGAACGGGACGGAACGGAACGGGACGGAACGGAACGGGGAGAGCGAGCGGGACGGAACGGAACGGAACGGAACGGGACGGGACGGGACGGGACGGGAUGGGAAUGGAACGGAACGGGAUGGGAGAGAGCGACCGGAACGGAACGGAACGGAACGGGAACGGGAACGGGAACGGGAACGGGAACGGGACGGGACGGGACGGGACGGGAUGGGAACGGAAAGAGCGAUCGGUAUGGACGGGAACGGGAACGGAACGGGAUGGGAACGGGAACGGGAUGGGAAUGGAACGGAACCGGAGAGAGCGAUCGGUAUGGACGGGAACGGGAACGGAACGGGAUGGGAGAGAACAGAGCGACCGGAACGGAUGGGAACGGAACGGGACGGAGCGAUCGUUAAGGAACGGAACGGAACGGAACGGAACGGGACGGGACGGGACGGGACGGGAACGGGAACGGAACGGGAGAGAACAGAGCGAUCCGUACGGAACGGGACAGAGCGAUCGGUACGGACGGCGGGAAAGUGACACUGAAAAUGCCCCAAAAUCCACCCAAAAAUGCCUCAAAAUUCACCCAAAAAUGCCCCAAAACCCAUGCAAAAAUGCCCCAAAACCACCCCAAAAUCCACCCAAAAAUACCCCAAAAUCCACCCAAAAAUGCCCCAAAACCCACCAAAAAUGCCUCAAAAUCCACCCAAAAGUGCCCCAAAACCACCCCAAAAUCCACCCAAUACCUACCCAAAAAUGCCCCAAAAUCCACCCAAAAAUGCCCCAAAAGCCACCCAAAAAUACCUCAAAACCCACCCAAAAAUGCCUCAAAACCCACCAGAAAAUGCCCCAAAAUCCACCCAAAAAUGCCCCAAAAUCGACUCAAAAAUGCCCCAAAAUAGACCCAAAAAUACCCCAAAACCCAUGCAAAAAUGCCCCAAAACCACCCCAAAAUCCACCCAAUACCCCAAAACCUACCCAAAAAUGCCCCAGAAUCCACCCAAAAAUGCCCGAAAAAUCCUCC